UAGUUGGUGUUGACGAAGAAAAGCAUGAACUCGUUAUUGGGAUUAUUGACUUCAUGAGGCAGUAUACAUGGGACAAGCACCUCGAGACAUGGGUUAAGGCCUCUGGCAUCCUUGGUGGACCUAAGAAUACACCUCCCACUGUAAUUUCACCUAAGCAAUACAAAAAGAGGUUCCGGAAGGCAAUGACCACUUAUUUCCUGAUGGUUCCGGAUCACUG
RNAcentral lists this unclassified non-coding RNA (217 nucleotides) under Hevea brasiliensis (rubber tree). The record is from RNAcentral. Lineage: Eukaryota; Viridiplantae; Streptophyta; Magnoliopsida; Malpighiales; Euphorbiaceae.